AUUGAACGCUGGCGGCAGGCCUAACACAUGCAAGUCGAGCGGAUGAAGGUAGCUUGCUACCUGAUUCAGCGGCGGACGGGUGAGUAAUGCCUAGGAAUCUGCCUGGUAGUGGGGGACAACGUUUCGAAAGGAACGCUAAUACCGCAUACGUCCUACGGGAGAAAGUGGGGGAUCUUCGGACCUCACGCUAUCAGAUGAGCCUAGGUACGAUUAGCUAGUUGGUGAGGUAGAGGCUCACCAAGGCGACGAUCGUUAACUGGUCUGAGAGGAUGACCAGUCACACUGGAACUGAGACACGGUCCAGACUCCUACGGGAGGCAGCAGUGGGGAAUAUUGGACAAUGGGCGAAAGCCUGAUCCAGCCAUGCCGCGUGUGUGAAGAAGGUCUUCGGAUUGUAAAGCACUUUAAGUUGGGAGGAAGGGCAGUAAGUUAAUACCUUGCUGUUUUGACGUUACCGACAGAAUAAGCACCGGCUAACUUCGUGCCAGCCGCCGCAGUAA
RNAcentral lists this ribosomal RNA (500 nucleotides) under uncultured bacterium. RNAcentral's name for it is "partial 16S ribosomal RNA". It matches the Rfam family "Bacterial small subunit ribosomal RNA", at positions 30 to 523 of the family's 1533-position model. The record is from RNAcentral.